UUCCCUGGUCCAGUGGUUAAGACUCUGCACUUCCAAUGCAGGAAGUGUGGGUUCAAUCCCUUGUUGGAAA
This 70-nucleotide transfer RNA is filed under the name Bos taurus (domestic cattle). It matches the Rfam family "tRNA". Rfam says of the family: Transfer RNA (tRNA) molecules are approximately 80 nucleotides in length. Their secondary structure includes four short double-helical elements and three loops (D, anti-codon, and T loops). Further hydrogen bonds mediate the characteristic L-shaped molecular structure. tRNAs have two regions of fundamental functional importance: the anti-codon, which is responsible for specific mRNA codon recognition, and the 3' end, to which the tRNAs corresponding amino acid is attached (by aminoacyl-tRNA synthetases). tRNAs cope with the degeneracy of the genetic code in two manners: having more than one tRNA (with a specific anti-codon) for a particular amino acid; and 'wobble' base-pairing, i.e. permitting non-standard base-pairing at the 3rd anti-codon position. RNAcentral also lists the same sequence under 5 other names. Lineage: Eukaryota; Metazoa; Chordata; Mammalia; Artiodactyla; Bovidae. The record is from Rfam by way of RNAcentral.